AACGCUAGCUACAGGCUUAACACAUGCAAGUCGAGGGGCAGCAUGAUUGAAGCUUGCUUCAAUCGAUGGCGACCGGCGCACGGGUGAGUAACACGUAUCCAACCUGCCGAUAACUCGGGGAUAGCCUUUCGAAAGAAAGAUUAAUACCCGAUAGUAUAGUAUUUCCGCAUGGUUUCACUAUUAAAGAAUUUCGGUUAUCGAUGGGGAUGCGUUCCAUUAGAUAGUUGGCGGGGUAACGGCCCACCAAGUCAACGAUGGAUAGGGGUUCUGAGAGGAAGGUCCCCCACAUUGGAACUGAGACACGGUCCAAACUCCUACGGGAGGCAGCAGUGAGGAAUAUUGGUCAAUGGACGAGAGUCUGAACCAGCCAAGUAGCGUGAAGGAUGACUGCCCUAUGGGUUGUAAACUUCUUUUAUACGGGAAUAAAGUGGAGUAUGCAUACUCCUUUGUAUGUACCGUAUGAAUAAGGAUCGGCUAACUCCGUGCCAGCAGCCGCGGUAAUACGGAGGAUCCGAGCGUUAUCCGGAUUUGUUGGGUUUAAAGGGAGCGUAGGUGGAUUGUUAAGUCAGUUGUGAAAGUUUGCGGCUCAACCGUAAAAUUGCAGUUGAAACUGGCAGUCUUGAGUACAGUAGAGGUGGGCGGAAUUCGUGGUGUAGCGGUGAAAUGCUUAGAUAUCACGAAGAACUCCGAUUG
This 693-nucleotide ribosomal RNA is filed under the name uncultured bacterium. RNAcentral describes it as "bacterial SSU rRNA". It matches the Rfam family "Bacterial small subunit ribosomal RNA", at positions 32 to 715 of the family's 1533-position model. The record is from RNAcentral.